Magnolia sinica is the source of this 1715-nucleotide RNA transcript. RefSeq lists it as uncharacterized. NCBI's taxonomy places the organism in Eukaryota, Viridiplantae, Streptophyta, Magnoliopsida, Magnoliales, Magnoliaceae. The record is from RefSeq and is a predicted model, not a curated record. The transcript has 5 exons.
UCAAACCGUCCAAUAUAAAAAGGGCGGUUGUGGACUCUCUCCCUCCAACGACUUUGCCAGACUCUCCCAUCCAAAGCUGCAAAUGGGUGUAAAGAACACUCUCAUAGCCUUCCUUGUUCCCAUCCCUUCCAUAGCUUUCUACCUCACCUUCCUUCAAGAAUCCCAGCACCCAUCUUCAUCUCAUGCACAUCUGGAGCACCUCUGGAAAUGGUGCUCCCAUCACCCUAUCUUUCUUGCAAACCUCCUCUUCUUCUUCAACAUCGACAUCCUCUUCUGGGCUAUCAGCCUCAUCCAAUCCAGCAAUUGGAUGAUAGAUUUGUAUUGGACUGUGAUACCUGUGAUGCUUGUUCACUACUAUGCAAGCCACCCUUAUGCAAAAUCAGAUGCCCUGAGAUCAACGGCCGUGAUUUUGAUGACUUGGGUGUGGAGCAUAAGGCUCACUCAUAACUAUUUGAGGAGGGAGAGGUGGGAGUUGGGUGUUAGGGAGGAUUGGAGGUUCAGUGAAAUGAGGAAGGAAUAUGGGAAGAAUUGGUGGUGGGUUUCGUUUUUUGCUGCUUACGUCGUACAGCAGGUAUUUCUGGUAGGCAUAUGCCUCCCCAUGUAUGCUAUUCACUCAAGUGAAAAACCAUGGAACGCAUGGGACACAAUUGCAACAUUCAUCUGUGCGAGUGGAAUUGUGAUUGCAUACAUUGCAGAUACACAACUCUUUAAGUUUUCACAAAGAAAUAGCACAUUACAAGAGCUCGGCAUGCCUAUGGUGCCCAACCUCGACAAGGGCUUAUGGCGGUAUUCUCGCCAUCCAAACUACUUUGGGGAGCAGCUGUGGUGGUGGGGAUUGGUUAUCUUUGGAUGGAACGUUGGGCACGGAUGGAUGUUCUCUGGGUCACUUAUUAAUAGCCUGUGCUUGGCAUAUGUGACAAUGCUUGUGGAGCAGCGGAUGUUAAAACAAGAGAACAGAGCCGAAGCAUACAAGCAAUACCAGAAGACAACAUCGGUGUGGGUACCUUGGUUUAAGUCGAGCCCAAGAGUCACAAAAGAUAAGAGUAGUUGAGAUGUUUUCAAUCCUUCAGUCGCCUCAUCACUUGUUAAUAACAUCGGAGCCCAUGCUGUCACCCAAUGGCAUGGGCCUGUAAGUUGGGAAACUGUACUACAGACUCUUGUUUCAAUUUAAUAAACUCCUUACAUCUGCAUUGCUUCUGUCUAACAUUAAACUUAGUAAUACUAUUCAAGGUUUGUUACUUUUGAAAUUUUGGGACCUCCUACAAACCAUAAGCAGGUCAAAUGUCUAUAAGUAGAGGCCUAAGAAGUGAUUUGGACAAGGCCUUUCAAUUUGUAGCAUGCAUGUGAAGCAGGCGAUGGAAUUGGAAGUGUUUGUUAUCAGCUGGAGUAGACCUAUGGCUGGGAUGUUCCUCUGUAGGUGGAGUGGCAAUAUAGGAUUGUAGAUAUAUUUGAUAUUAGCUGUAGCCUUGUUGAAUUAUAUUACAUGUAUACAACUGUUAGUCAAAACGUAAUUUUACAGGUAAUCUUUACCAUGGUGGGUUGUACAUGCACCAACAUGCAGUUGAUCCACUGUGUUUGUUGUUAAGGGAUAAUGACCCUUUUCUGGAACUAUUUACAGUCUGUAAGGACUUUAUGAAGUUGAGGACAUGUGUAAUUUGAUGAUGGACGUUUUAUUCCAAUUAAUAUUGGAUAUGAAAUUGCGAUUAUAUCAUGUA